This 270-nucleotide ribosomal RNA is filed under the name uncultured bacterium. RNAcentral describes it as "partial 16S ribosomal RNA". It matches the Rfam family "Bacterial small subunit ribosomal RNA", at positions 524 to 787 of the family's 1533-position model. The record is from RNAcentral.
UACGUAGGGGGCGAGCGUUAUCCGGAAUUACUGGGCGUAAAGCGCACGCAGCGGUUCGCCAAGUUUGGAGUGACAGUUGUCGGCUCAACCGACAAAGGACUUCAAAAAACUGGUGAACUUGAGGACGAGAGAGGAACAUGGAACUCCAGGUGUAGUAGUGAAAUGCGUAGAUAUCUGGGAAGAACACCCAAUGGCGAAGGCAAUGUUCUGGCUCGUUUCUGAACGCUCAGGUGCGAAAAGCCAGGGGGAGCCGAACGGGAUUAGAAAACC